CCUUACCAUCCCUUGACAUCCAGAGAACUUUCUAGAGAUAGAUUGGUGCCUUCGGGAACUCUGACACAGGUGCUGCAUGGCUGUCGUCAGCUCGUGUCGUGAGAUGUUGGGUUAAGUCCCGCAACGAGCGCAACCCUUGUCCUUAGUUGCCAGCAUUAAGUUGGGCACUUUAAGGAGACUGCCGGUGACAAACCGGAGGAAGGUGGGGACGACGUCAAGUCCUCAUGGCCCUUACGGGUUGGGCUACACACGUGCUACAAUGGCAGUGACAAUGGGUUAAUCCCCAAAAACUGUCUCAGUUCGGAUUGGGGUCUGCAACUCGACCCCAUGAAGUCGGAAUCGCUAGUAAUCGCGUAACAGCAUGACGCGGUGAAUACGUUCCCGGGUCUGUACACACCGA
Molecule: ribosomal RNA, 400 nt
Filed under: uncultured bacterium
Lineage: Bacteria
Description: bacterial SSU rRNA
Rfam family: Bacterial small subunit ribosomal RNA
Source: RNAcentral